AAUGUACAACAUUUUCUAUUUGGAUACAGAACAUCUGGGGCUAUGCUGACUUUCCUGCCUUCUGCCACAACCUAGUCAGAAGAGAUAUGGAUCAUCUGAACCUCCUGCGGAACAUUAUACUGGUCUAUUAUUUUGAGGACAUCAUGCCACUUAGACCACUGACAUGAGAAAUGCAAAGGAGAGAAUUUGCUGGCUGGGAUAAACUUGAUUUCCUAGGCCAAGGAGGGCUAGGAAGAAUCCAUGAAAGCCCAGAUAUUGAAGGACAUUGGAGGUGAAACAAUCCAACCACCUCACUUUACAAAUUAGGAAGCAGAUCUGGAGAGGGAAAAGGAGCUCUGUGUCAGCUUUUAUGUGGAAAUGAUUAAGAAAGAAGUGAUUGUAUUCACGUUAAAAUUAAGUGGUGUCCUCAUUAAAACUUCGUCUCUUAGGGAAGACCAGGCCUAGGUGGGGAGACUUGCAUUUACUGAAUCCCUAUUAUAUGCCAUGGAUUCCACAUUCAUUAUUUCCUCUAAUUAACUGAUUAAUCUUCACAAAAUCCUAGGAGGCAGAUACCAUCACACCUAUUAAUUAAGAAGUUUAGUAGCCUGCACAGGGCCAGAUUAAUAAUUAGUACCUCCUGGCAUCAAACCCUGAUUUCUGACUGUAAAUGUCACGUUCAGACAACAGCAUUGCACUGGCUCCAGAAAUGGAGCAGUUAAAGAUCACUGAAGCCAAGAACAAUGAAAUCUUAUUUUCAUUUUAAUACGCUGUUUCCACUUCUUUUUCAUUUUUAGUGAGUUAAAAACAUCAAAGAUCGAAUGAUGGCUGGUCCCAAGUUCAUAAAAGCUUAAAUUUCUGUUUGAAUCAAUAAAACGCUGACGUAAAUACCAGCAAAACACUCAGGAGAGACAUUUCCAAACCUCCUCACCACCUCCUGGGUCAGAGUCACCCCCCCCCGCCCCCCACCAGUGUCUCCCUGUGUGAAAUGAGGGUGUUCUGUUCCUCCUGGGUCUUCAAGUUUCCCUGUAGCUCUAAAGCCAAACCAAACCAAACAAAAAAAAUAACCGCAACAGGCCUGAGCAUUUCUUUUCUUUUCUUUAUUUGCUGUUGAAGUUUACAUGCAAAUCUUUUGAACUUCCAGAAAUAGGUACACCAAUGGGGGAGUCGGGGGGCAGACUCACUGAAAUAGGGACCCAGAGCAUACACAGGAAGCACAGACGCUUCAGAAGAGCAAGUCACCUCUGCCCUCCUGCCUGUGGUGGUUUAGGUUAAUUGGCUUAUGCGGGCCGGCCGCACAGUCCACACGGGGCCUGGAUGUACUGCUGUAGCACACUCAAAACUCAGGCACUGCCUGGGAAGGAAUGAAGUUAGAGCCAACUACCUGAUUUUUCUCUGAAUGAAGUCAUUGGCUUUUCCUUGCACAUCUCUCUCUCUCUCUCUCUUAUGCUUCCUAUGUACCAGGCACAGUUCUAAGUACUUUACAUAUAUUGAUUUAUUUAAUCAUUAUUACAGCCCUGAGAAGGGCUGUCCUCAUUGGAUAGAUGAACAGCUUGAUACACAAAAAUGUUUAAUAAAUAUCUUUGGGCACACGGGAAAUACAUUUUGGGGCCAGUGCUUGAACCCAAGUAACUGGCUCAGGAGUCCCUGCUCAUAACCACGGUGCUACUCAGUUACCAGUUAAAGUCAUAAAUUGCACCCACUUUGCUUCCUGCUUCCCGGUCUUGGCUCAUUUGUUUACAAAGAUCACUAAAAAUGUUUGGCUCAAACCGAAGCACCUUAAUCAGCUUCUAAGUCCAUAAGACAGCUGCAGUGAAACUGCUAGUUCCUAACAACACUAGUUGCUUUGGACUGCUCAGCGUCACACUUGUGCUCCUAUUUUAUUGACUCAUUUACUCUUCAUUUCCAGAUUCCAGCUCAUCGGUAGCCUUCCAACCCUCCAUAUGCCAGCCACACCUGAUGCCUUGCUGCAUCUGCCUGCCUCUGUGCUUUGCCCGUGCUCUUCCUACUGUCUGUAAUGCUCUUUUCCUUCCCUUCUAUACUUUAGGAACAUAUUCCAUCUUUCUGGCCCUACCAUUCUAGACAUCAAGUAGGAACUUUAUAAUGACUUAAUUCUAUGUCCUUAACCCCCUCUAGUUGACUUCUCCUGAGGAAUAUAACAAUGUUUAUGCUGCUAUGUGUCAUUUUCCAUAAGAUAACACAAUAAAAACACUGUUAACUUAUAAAUACUUUACAAAAAAAAAUUAAAUGUGAUCUGUUAUCUGGUAUUUAUGUAUCUAGUAUUUAAAACAUUAAUAGUUCUUUUUAGGGGAGAGUUGUCCUGAGUUGAGUUCAUAAUCCUCCUACUUUUACUCUAAAACCUUUAACCAGAAAAGUGAAACUAUGCACUAUAAAGGCAAUAUAUGAA
Manis pentadactyla (Chinese pangolin) is the source of this 2383-nucleotide long non-coding RNA. RefSeq lists it as uncharacterized. The record is from RefSeq and is a predicted model, not a curated record. The transcript has 3 exons. Lineage: Eukaryota; Metazoa; Chordata; Mammalia; Pholidota; Manidae.